ACAUAUCCAUUCGUCUACGCUUUGUCAUCCCAGUUAGAGGCCAAAAGAAAAGGCUCCGUUAAGAAAGUGAUCCUCUCUUCUCAAGAUUCUUGAUUUUCUAGGCACCCUUUUACUCUCUAUAUUUUCAAAUGACAGAACCCAAAAGCUCCUGUAGUAAAGAAUUUUUUGAAGAUGGGUUUUGCUCUUCUGAUGAUAAAGGUGGAAUUUUGGAGGAUGGAGUUGAAGAAAAAGUGAAAAAGAAGAAGAGGAAUCAGCAGAGAAUAAUUAGUGAAGAAAUGGGUGAUAAUUUGAUGAGAGAUCCACUAAUUUUACUUGGAUCAGAUAUUAUGUUGAUGAUUUUGAGCUGUCUUGACGCACGCAGCGUGGCACUUUCUCUUCUUGUGUCACUUGGUUGGCGUGCUGUUGCUUCUUCUGCUAAGAUUUGGAGCUCAAAGGUUGUCCUCUGGCCCUUUUUCUAGUUGGUUUAUUGGGAAGACGAUAAAUUGUUGAAGAUCAAUUAUCUCUUUUGUUUCUUGCCCUUAAUUGCUUUAUCAGUGCGAAGAAUUAUGGCAUGACAAAGCACAUUUACCUCGGGUAGCGAAAAUGAAUGGAUUGUCAAAGUUAGCUGCUUACUCAUUGUCGGUAAUGGAUGGUGAACGUAAGCGAGUAACAAAGGAGGAUUUAUGUGAUCAUGCGUGGGAGUUCCAUUUCACCGAGGCAUUAUCCAACCCCAUGUAUGUCAUGCAUGGCUGCAGCUUGCACCAAAUGAGUUAGUAGAACGUGUACGUGCUUGAAAACACUUAAAUGUGGGCAACUGCUGUCCAAACGUCCAAUUUUUUAUGAUCUAGCUUUGCAAGUGGUUGUUUCAUAGGGCUUCUCUUCCUUUCCCUAGUUUCCUGUCAUAGGGUAAGGACAUAAGCAUAAUCAUUAUGUGAGACGCGACCUAAUAGAGACUCCUCAGGAUGCUCCGGAAUAUUGGCGAAUGCUCGACCCCUACUGGAACGGAACAGGACCUCCUUUGCGCCGUUAUUUCCUUCCAGAUGGCAGUCAGACUGCUGAACCAGAUGACAAGGUAUGGGGUGGUCAUGAGUCUUGCUACUCCAUAGUAACUAGCUUGCUUGCGGAUGGGAAAAUACGACAACACUAUGUGAGGAUUAACCGUUGGCCACCGAUGUAUGUUACAAGGAAGGAGGAUUGGAGCUGGGAAAUCUCUAACAACUUGUGUAUCUAUAGGAGCAUCCCUGAUGCUGACAAAGAAGAAGGAACAGGACCUUUGUUUCUACUUUACUAGCCUCUGCUUUUGAAUGUAGUAAUAUGUAAUUUUUUGAAGCAAAACUAUGGAUACACUUGUUUUGUCUUCUGUAAUUUCAAUAGAGUUUGUGUUUCUUAGAUGCAGUUUGGAAAUUUUACAAGAAGUCAUUUUGCAGUGUA
RNA transcript from Nicotiana tabacum (common tobacco), 1410 nucleotides. RefSeq lists it as uncharacterized. Lineage: Eukaryota; Viridiplantae; Streptophyta; Magnoliopsida; Solanales; Solanaceae. The record is from RefSeq and is a predicted model, not a curated record.